AAAGAGAUUUGUUGGGCUCCGGGGUGCGCUCCCGAGGAGUUUAACUCUAAGGGAGGCGAGAGCAUUUCUGAGCAACAGAGCCCACUUUUGCCAUGGUGAUGUUGUGAGGAAGAUGACGGAGAAAGAAAUGGGUUUGAGGAGACUGGUGUCCUUUUGAACAGUCAGAAGAAGUGCUUUGUUCAAGAAUGUACGCCGGUAUAUGAUUAAUGUGGAAGUGGCCAUCAAAAACAAAUUGCAUGGGGAGGGUGAAGAGGAUCUUAACCCAGAUGCGACAAAUAAUUUGUAAUUCUUAUCCAGAAGAGAGCUGAGGAAGAGUCACCAAGAGCGGAGGGAGUCUCCUUCAGAGGGUGUUCAAAACGAUAACGAAUCUUGUAAAUAUCUUUACAAAAGCCGAUUCUCUCUCAGCGGGCAAACAAUGCACUUUGUAACGCAGCUACAAGUAAUCUUUAUACCCAACGUGGGGCUUGAACUCACGAUCCUCGAGACGAAGAGUCACAUACUCUCCCAAAUGAGCCAGCCAGGAGCCCCAAUGUCUUCACUUUUAUACAUCAAUAUGGAAACAAGCAUCUAAAACCCAGAAAGCCUUAAAGACAUUCACUAUUCGGUUAGGUCUUUGAACUUGGAUAUUAGUGGCGGUUGUUAAAUAACUCUCCAAUAAAUAAAAUGUGAAAAGAAAAAAUGUAACUCAGUAUUUGCAGCUUGUCUUAAGGUUCUAAAACUGGUUCUAAUAAAAUUAAA
This is a long non-coding RNA of Suricata suricatta (meerkat), 738 nucleotides long. RefSeq lists it as uncharacterized. The transcript has 3 exons. The record is from RefSeq and is a predicted model, not a curated record. Lineage: Eukaryota; Metazoa; Chordata; Mammalia; Carnivora; Herpestidae.